UUCAGCUGUCAUUCGACAAGAAAAGGGGAAGCUGUCAGAAUGGUGCCGCUCUUCUAUAACAUAUUUGCCAAAUUUUGUAAUUUAUAAAUUAGUUUAAAGUUUGUUUUCAGUUGCGUUGUUUGUAGAAUUUUUAAAAAAAAACAAAGUGAAAUCAAUAACUUUAUCUGGUAAAUGUAUAAUAAAAUAUUGAAUUUCAUUCAUAUUGGACUCCGAUUGUACUGUUGUAAGAUAAUGUCAACUAGAAUUUUUUACACCAGCAAUCAUUUGCAUAAUUUGACCCACAUGUAAGUGGAAGUAUCGAAAGCCACCGUGUGAAACUUGAACCCACUAAACCAACUCUUAGGAAUAAAUGGAGAAGAUUUUUCCAGCAUUGUGAAAACUUCAUUCCAGUAAUCAGGCUAUAGCGACGAUAAGUGGCACCAAUCAAACAUAUAUGCUUUAAUGAUGACUGCCUCAAAGAAAAGCUAUUGAAAUGUAUUGACAUCAUUUUGGAAAAAAAGAAACUAAUAGAUGAGAUAAAAGUAUAUAGUUUUAUUCAUGGGUGCACGCUUUAAUCAAAUUACCAAAUUACGAUAAAUAAAAUAAACACAAGAAGUGGAUGAAUGGUAUUAAAUGUUUUAUUGAUAAAUUUUUACACAAU
Molecule: long non-coding RNA, 640 nt
Organism: Teleopsis dalmanni
Lineage: Eukaryota; Metazoa; Arthropoda; Insecta; Diptera; Diopsidae
Exons: 4
Source: RefSeq, a predicted model, not a curated record